UGGGGAAUUUUGGACAAUGGGGGAAACCCUGAUCCAGCCAUCCCGCGUGUGCGAUGAAGGCCUUCGGGUUGUAAAGCACUUUUGGCAGGAAAGAAACGUCGCGGGUUAAUACCCCGCGAAACUGACGGUACCUGCAGAAUAAGCACCGGCUAACUACGUGCCAGCAGCCGCGGUAAUACGUAGGGUGCAAGCGUUAAUCGGAAUUACUGGGCGUAAAGCGUGCGCAGGCGGUUCGGAAAGAAAGAUGUGAAAUCCCAGAGCUUAACUUUGGAACUGCAUUUUUAACUACCGGGCUAGAGUGUGUCAGAGGGAGGUGGAAUUCCGCGUGUAGCAGUGAAAUGCGUAGAUAUGCGGAGGAACACCGAUGGCGAAGGCAGCCUCCUGGGAUAACACUGACGCUCAUGCACGAAAAGCGUGGGGAGCAAACAGGAUUAGAUACCCUGGUAGUCCACGCCCUAAAACGAUGUCAACUAGCUGUUGGGGCCUUCGGGCCUUGGUAGCGCAGCUAACGCGUGAAGUUGACCGCCUGGGGAGUACGGUCGCAAGAUUAAAAACUU
Molecule: ribosomal RNA, 557 nt
Filed under: uncultured bacterium
Lineage: Bacteria
Description: partial 16S ribosomal RNA
Rfam family: Bacterial small subunit ribosomal RNA
Source: RNAcentral